This 72-nucleotide transfer RNA is filed under the name Cronartium comandrae C4. RNAcentral describes it as "tRNA-Pro (TGG) (tRNA-Pro-TGG-8-1)". It matches the Rfam family "tRNA". From Rfam's summary of the family: Transfer RNA (tRNA) molecules are approximately 80 nucleotides in length. Lineage: Eukaryota; Fungi; Basidiomycota; Pucciniomycetes; Pucciniales; Coleosporiaceae. The record is from RNAcentral.
GUGUGCAUAGCACAGUGGUUAGAGCAUCUCUCUGGAUUGAGGUGGUCAUGGGUUUGUAUCCCAUUGCACACA